CGGGGUGUGGCUCAGGUGGCAGAGCGUCGGCUUCGGGAGCCGAAGGUCAGGGGUUCAAGUCCCCUCACCCCGA
Molecule: transfer RNA, 73 nt
Organism: Hydrogenobacter thermophilus TK-6
Lineage: Bacteria; Pseudomonadati; Aquificota; Aquificia; Aquificales; Aquificaceae
Rfam family: tRNA
About the family: Transfer RNA (tRNA) molecules are approximately 80 nucleotides in length.
Source: Rfam